RNAcentral lists this ribosomal RNA (253 nucleotides) under uncultured bacterium. RNAcentral's name for it is "partial 16S ribosomal RNA". It matches the Rfam family "Bacterial small subunit ribosomal RNA", at positions 524 to 776 of the family's 1533-position model. The record is from RNAcentral.
UACGUAGGGGCCGAGCGUUGUCCGGAGUUACUGGGCGUAAAGCGCGCGCAGGCGGCUCGUCAAGCCUGACGUGAAAGCCCCCGGCUCAACCGGGGAGGGUCGUCGGGGACUGGCGGGCUUGAGGUCGGCAGGGGUUGGUGGAAUUCCCGGUGUAGUGGUGAAAUGCGCAGAUAUCGGGAGGAACACCUAUGGCGAAGGCAGCUCGCUGGGACGUUACUGACGCUGAGACGCGAAAGCGUGGGGAGCAAACAGG